This 398-nucleotide ribosomal RNA is filed under the name uncultured fungus. Its description in RNAcentral is "partial 18S ribosomal RNA". It matches the Rfam family "Eukaryotic small subunit ribosomal RNA", at positions 69 to 374 of the family's 1831-position model. Lineage: Eukaryota; Fungi. The record is from RNAcentral.
GAUGAUUUUAUAUCUUGANCUGCGAACGGCUCAUUAAAUCAGUUAUAAUCUACUUGAUUGUAAAAUCUACAUGGAUAACUGUAGUAAUUCUAGAGCUAAUACAUGCAAAAAAUCCUGACUGUUAUAGAAAGGAUGUAUUUAUUAGGUACAAAAUCAAUGCUGGCACUUGUGUCAGGUUUAUUGAUGAUUCAUAAUAACUAAACGAAGCGCACGACCUUGCGUUGGCGCUGAUACAAACGAGUUUCUGCCCUAUCAACUUUCGAUGGUAGUAUAGAGGACUACCAUGGUUUCAACGGGUAACGGGGAAUGGGCCGGUGNGGNGNGANGGAGAANAUUAANUAGUUUGGNUNCGAGGNCAGGGUCGCNGCGAUCGNACGAGUGGGAANUNCCGNCCAGCU